GUCGCUAACGAGCGCAACCCUCGCUGUGUGUUAUAUGUGUCACAUGGGACUGCCGGCCUUAAGCCGGAGGAAGUGGGGAUGAUGUCAAGUCAGUAUGGCCUUUAUGUCCUGGGCUACACACACGCUACAAUGGUCAGCACAAUGGGUCGCUAAGCCGCAAGGUGGAGCCAAUCCUCAAAGUUGGCCUCAGUUCAGAUUGUAGGCUGCAACUCGCCUGCAUGAAGAUGGAGUUGCUAGUAAACGCAGGUCAGCUAUACUGCGUUGAAUACGUUCCCGGGGCUU
RNAcentral lists this ribosomal RNA (282 nucleotides) under uncultured Leptolinea sp. Its description in RNAcentral is "partial 16S ribosomal RNA". It matches the Rfam family "Bacterial small subunit ribosomal RNA", at positions 1084 to 1382 of the family's 1533-position model. Lineage: Bacteria; Bacillati; Chloroflexota; Anaerolineae; Anaerolineales; Anaerolineaceae. The record is from RNAcentral.